AGGACGAACGCUGGCGGCGUGCUUAACACAUGCAAGUCGAGCGAGGCCCUUCCUUCGGGAAGGUGCCCUAGCGGCGAACGGGUGAGUAACACGUGGGCAACCUGCCCCUAGCACUGGGAUAACUCCGGGAAACCGGGGCUAAUACCGGAUAUUACCUUCUUGGGCAUCCUCGAAGGUGUAAAGGAUUCUGGCUAGGGAUGGGCCCGCGGCCUAUCAGCUUGUUGGUGGGGUAACAGCCUACCAAGGCGACGACGGGUAGCCGGCCUGAGAGGGUGACCGGCCACACUGGGACUGAGACACGGCCCAGACUCCUACGGGAGGCAGCAGUGGGGAAUCUUGCACAAUGGGCGAAAGCCUGAUGCAGCGACGCCGCGUGAGGGAUGACUGCCUUCGGGUUGUAAACCCCUGUUGCCCGGGACGAAUGUGCACUUUAGAGUGCAUUGACGGUACCGGUGAGGAAGCACCGGCUAACUCCGUGCCAGCAGCCGCGGUAA
This 494-nucleotide ribosomal RNA is filed under the name uncultured bacterium. RNAcentral describes it as "SSU rRNA". It matches the Rfam family "Bacterial small subunit ribosomal RNA", at positions 26 to 523 of the family's 1533-position model. The record is from RNAcentral.